This 548-nucleotide ribosomal RNA is filed under the name uncultured Glomeromycotina. RNAcentral's name for it is "SSU rRNA". It matches the Rfam family "Eukaryotic small subunit ribosomal RNA", at positions 548 to 1098 of the family's 1831-position model. Lineage: Eukaryota; Fungi; Glomeromycota. The record is from RNAcentral.
UUGGAGGGCAAGUCUGGUGCCAGCAGCCGCGGUAAUUCCAGCUCCAAUAGCGUAUAUUAAAGUUGUUGCAGUUAAAAAGCUCGUAGUUGAAUUUCGGGGUCAGUAGGUUGGUCGUGCCACUGGUAUGUACUGGCUUUACUGAUUCCUCCUUCUUGAAGAACUGUAAUGUCAUUAAUUUGGUGUUGCAGGGAGACAGGACUGUUACUUUGAAAAAAUUAGAGUGUUUAAAGCAGGCUUUGGCUCGAAUACAUUAGCAUGGAAUAAUGAAAUAGGACGUUCGAUCCUAUUUUGUUGGUUUCUAGGAUUGACGUAAUGAUUAAUAGGGAUAGUUGGGGGCAUUAGUAUUCAAUUGUCAGAGGUGAAAUUCUUGGAUUUAUUGAAGACUAACUUCUGCGAAAGCAUUUGCCAAGGAUGUUUUCAUUAAUCAAGAACGAAAGUUAGGGGAUCGAAGACGAUCAGAUACCGUCGUAGUCUUAACCAUAAACUAUGCCGACUAGGGAUCGGACGAUGUUAAUUUUUCUUGACUCGUUCGGCGCCUUACGGGAAAC